CUUCACAAGAGCAGAGAGAAACCUGUCUGCGGAAUCUUAUAUGUUUAAUAUUUCAAGGAGCAUUCAGAGGUUUCCAGAGCAUUUCUCUAAGCAUCUGACUCUACAGCUGACUGUACUCAGAACAGAAUUUGAGCAUGCAGGACAUUCUUCAAGGCUGUUUCUCAAGCCAUAUCCAUUCUCUACUGUUUGUCUGGAUGAUCCACCUCCAUGAUUUUCUACAGCACAUCUUAUAAAAGCUAAAUUCAACUUUGAAUGCAAAAAAUUAUUCACUUACUUUUCAGAGGUGCUAGAAGGAAACUUUUGUUAAUGUUUUGACUUUAAUAAACUGCAUGCUUCUUGUUCUCA
This 345-nucleotide long non-coding RNA is filed under the name Anas platyrhynchos platyrhynchos (common mallard). RNAcentral's name for it is "lncRNA (ENSAPLG00000028502.1)". The record is from RNAcentral. Lineage: Eukaryota; Metazoa; Chordata; Aves; Anseriformes; Anatidae.